UACACACCGCCCGUCACACCAUGGGAGUUGGCUUUACCUGAAGCCGGUGCGCUAACCCGCAAGGGAGGCAGCCGACCACGGUAGGGUCAGCGACUGGGGUG
RNAcentral lists this ribosomal RNA (101 nucleotides) under uncultured bacterium. RNAcentral's name for it is "partial 16S ribosomal RNA". It matches the Rfam family "Bacterial small subunit ribosomal RNA", at positions 1384 to 1482 of the family's 1533-position model. The record is from RNAcentral.